RNAcentral lists this transfer RNA (72 nucleotides) under Ornithorhynchus anatinus (platypus). It matches the Rfam family "tRNA". Rfam says of the family: Transfer RNA (tRNA) molecules are approximately 80 nucleotides in length. Their secondary structure includes four short double-helical elements and three loops (D, anti-codon, and T loops). Lineage: Eukaryota; Metazoa; Chordata; Mammalia; Monotremata; Ornithorhynchidae. The record is from Rfam by way of RNAcentral.
AGCAGCGUGGCUCAGUGGAAAGAGCCUGGGCUUUGGAGUCAGAGGUCAUGGGUUCAACUCCCGGCUCUGCCA